RNAcentral lists this ribosomal RNA (119 nucleotides) under Aegilops tauschii subsp. strangulata. Lineage: Eukaryota; Viridiplantae; Streptophyta; Magnoliopsida; Poales; Poaceae. The record is from RNAcentral.
GGAUGCGAUCAUACCAGCACUAAAGCACCGGAUCCCAUCAGAACUCCGAAGUUAAGCGUGCUUGGACGAGAGUAGUACUAGGAUGGGUGACCUCCUGGGAGGUCCUCGUGUUGCAUUCC